GGAAGUAAAAGUCUAACAAGGUCUCCGUAGGUGAACCUGCGGAGGGAUCAUUACAGAGUUCAUGCCCUACCGGGUAGAUCUCCCACCCUAUGUUAUUAUUACUUUGUUGCUUUGGCGGGCCGUUAGGCUCCGGCCCGACUACCGGCCCCGGCUGGUAAGCGCCCGCCAGAGGACCCAAAACCCUGAAUAUUAGUGUCGUCUGAGUACUAUAUAAUAGUUAAAACUUUCAACAACGGAUCUCUUGGUUCUG
Molecule: unclassified non-coding RNA, 250 nt
Filed under: plant metagenome
Description: partial contains small subunit ribosomal RNA, internal transcribed spacer 1, and 5.8S ribosomal RNA
Rfam family: Eukaryotic small subunit ribosomal RNA (bases 1-53)
Source: RNAcentral